GCGGGUCGGGUGGGUAGUGGGCGUGGUUACAGGACAGGAAACAGCGAGUCUGGCCACGGCCUCCAACACCACAGAACACGCCUUAAGAGAGAAGAGAGGCAGCAACGGCGGCUUUGGCGGUGGUGGCACAGCUGGCGGGUAUAGUGACGGUGGCACCAGUGGUGGCACUACUGUAGUGUAUGGUGCCAGAAACGGUGGUGGCACAGCUGGCGGGUAUAGUGACGGUGGCACCAGUGGUGGCACUACUGUAGUGUAUGGUGCCAGAAACGGUGGUGGCACAGCUGGCGGGUAUAGUGACGGUGGCAGCAGUGGUGGCACUACUGUAGUGUAUGGUGCCAGAAACGGUGGUGGCACAGCUGGCGGGUAUAGUGACG
This is a long non-coding RNA of Homarus americanus (American lobster), 374 nucleotides long. RefSeq lists it as uncharacterized. The transcript has 3 exons. Lineage: Eukaryota; Metazoa; Arthropoda; Malacostraca; Decapoda; Nephropidae. The record is from RefSeq and is a predicted model, not a curated record.